This 247-nucleotide long non-coding RNA is filed under the name Mytilus galloprovincialis (Mediterranean mussel). The record is from RNAcentral. Lineage: Eukaryota; Metazoa; Mollusca; Bivalvia; Mytilida; Mytilidae.
UUUUAAAUAUAUUUAUGAUUAGCAAAAUAAAAUUGUUAGCAAAAACCUCAAUUAUUAAAAUGUAUUUUGCAAUGGCAUAAGAGCACCGAAAUGUAUUAUGCUAAUCAUAUUCAAUUUUGUUUACUGAAAAUUCAGAAAUUAUUGCAAGGUUUUUAUUGAUGCAAAUAAUGUGACUAUAAGUAAUUCACAUUGUUGUCCAUUCUUGAAUAAUCCCAUUAAUAAAUGUUUGCAAUAAUUUCUAAAUUUA